This 8718-nucleotide long non-coding RNA is filed under the name Nicotiana benthamiana. Its description in RNAcentral is "long non-coding RNA (NBEN_LNC033097)". The record is from RNAcentral. Lineage: Eukaryota; Viridiplantae; Streptophyta; Magnoliopsida; Solanales; Solanaceae.
AAGUAUUUGGAUAGCAUAACAAAAACUCCUUCGUCAUUUCAAUUCUCAAUAUAUGCCAAAUGCAAACCAAUAUGAUUAAUGCACAAAAAUUACACAUGGUAUCUCUUGACCGCCUCGGAGCUGAUGGUCAUUUUCACACAUUAUCCUGUUAUAUCUCUCAUAUAUAAUACACCAUUGGGCAACACUCUCACACUUAUUACCACGAUCCGCCCCAUGUCAACUUGGUCCACUUGCUUUUAGGAUUUAUUUAUAUUCUAUCUUCCCUAGUUUCACAUGGUUCGGGCAUCAAACAAUCUCAAAACGUCCCAAUCUGUUCUUAUUUCAUCAAGUGCCCUAUUCAUUUUCAAAAUGGUCUCCUUGUUUCGCAACUUUUGAAGAUCAGACUGAGAAUUAUGCCUGCAUGUCACGUCACUAGAACCGACAAAAGGAAAAACAAAAGGAUAGAAAAGAAGUAAAUAAAGAAAAUGAUUGGGCGUAACAACGGAUCGGAAUUUUCAUUACACAAAUGAUGAAACCAUUCAAAUAACAAAACAAAAAAAAACAGGAGUACAACCCUAGAAUGAACUCAAACAAACCUGGACAAACCUAAACAAACCACUAUGACUAAAUAAGCUAGACAAAAAAUGAAAGGAUAAGAGGGUUUGAUCAUAAGAGAAUAUACGGAUUACAACCCUGCAAAUAACUCGGUUAGCAAAAAUGACAGCAAAAUAGACCACCAAAGCUCCGCCUCGGCUGACCUAGGAAUGGAGCGUCUUUCCAAUCACUAAGCACGGUAUCUUAGCCACUGAAUUCUGCAUCAACAAUACUAAGACCUUCAAAUGACAUUUCCAGGUCAAUCAUAUCUGUCAUAUGCAUCUCAUGUUGCAUAGGCGAUGGACUUUGGUUGGUAUCUGCUACAUCUAGAUUUGGCACAAUAAUGUCGCAUGCAUUAACAAGCUCCCGAAUUGCUUUCUUUAGCUUCCAACAAUUUUCUAUGUCAUGGCCCGGUGCAUCUAAGAAAUAUGCGCACCUUUGAAGAGGAUCCCACAUCCUUGACAUAGAGUUUGGCAUUUUUAUCUGAACUGGUUUCAACAUGUCCAAUUGCUUUAACUUUUGGAAAAAACUGGCAUAUGAUCCUUUCACGGAGGUAAAAGCCUUUCCUUUCUUCGGUAACUUUUCAUUACUAAAUGCCUAAUUUGGCCAGAAACCUGAUCUAGGGGGUUUCUGACAGGUUCAUGUGGGUAGAUAAGCAUGUUGUGGAGCCGGGUUCCGGGAAGGUGAUAUGCGACCCUAGGGGUUCUGUGGAGAGAUGUAGCAUUAGGGCAGAUCACCUGGUGUGCAAGUAUAUCCACAAAGGCAAUUUCGGGACUGGGAGUGUUCAUCAGGAGAACUCAUCGGAUUAUCUUUUCUGCUUUUCCCUCCCCCACCCAAGUUCGAUGGGGUGUUCUGAAUGUCUUUCGACCAAUUCGCGAUUUUGCCUAUAUUGAUUCCCAUUUCUACUAACUCCCCCAUUCUUAAAACCUCAUCGAAAUGUCUACCCACCGCUGGAAUCAAAUGAUUUAAGUAGAUGGGCUCUAGACUUGUAGGAAAAGCUUGACCAUCCCCUCUUCGCCAAUCAGGGUACUGACUCGAGCAGCUUGUUCCCUCCAUCUGAGUCCAAACUCCCUGAAGCUUUCCUCCAGCUUCUUUUCCAUCUUAGAUAGGGAGGAACGAUCUAGGGUAACGCUUGAUUUGCAUUGAAAGCAGCGGACAAAGUCUCGAGCCAUGUCACCCAAUGUAGGCCAUCUCUUAACAUCUUGAUGAUCAUGCAAGUCCAAAGCUGCCACAAUCAGGCUCUCACUGAAAUGUGCGAUCAUCAAGUCAUUUUUCUCACCCAUACUUCUCAUUUCACUACAAUAAACCUUCGGGUGAGCCAUAGGAUCCCCAAACCCAUCAUACAACCUGAAUUUUGGUAUUUUAAACCCUAUGGUUAGGCGACUAUCGGGAGAUACGGAUGGUUCUUUCAUCUUCUUGGGUACCCCAUCUACCCAUUCCCUUAUGAACUUUCCAUUUUCGAUAUAAGGCUUAUCCUACGGGCCCUGCUUGUGCGGGUUGGGAACCCUGUAAGGAACCUCGCAGUGGUAAUAUUGGGCGUUAUGAGUUUUGGGUAGGUGUUCAUGGUUGAGAAGAAUAAAUGUGACCGGAAGGCACUUUUGGGAAAAGAUAGUUGGAUGAUGAGUGGUGGGGCUAAUGGGGUGGUUGAAAAAGCUGUGAUAAAUGGGUAAAUCUGGAGAGUGUGGAGGAUCAGCAUGCCUUGUGUUUGGUGUUAGGGUAAGGACACGUCUAGGAAGAUGGGCGGUGGUGGGGGUUUCAUCCAUGAUCAGUACAUGUAUGCCACGUGCUAUCUCAAUACUUUUACCUCUUAUACCAACCCGUUAUCCGGUUCAGCGAGGUGUUUUCAGGCAUUGGUACCAACCCACUCAGUUCCGUUGUUUUCUGCCAUUAUCUUUUGUGUUGCAAGGAAGCAUUACCUUAGAACCACAAACCAACCACCUUUCUGAAGUGACAUGCUAAAAAUGAAACCAUCAUGCUACCGUUAAGGCAUUUAACAUAUGUGUAAUCGCACAUUUGAGGAAUGAAUGCACCUAAGCAGUUGAUCACUUCUAUUAUGCCUUUCGUAACGUAUGCAUCAUCCCGACACUUUCUCAUUUGUGAUUGCAAACUUUCUCUCUCUAUUUUUGUUCCUCUUUUCUCUCUCUUUUCUCUCUCUUUUCUUUCUUUUUCUCUCAUUUCAGUCUUGCCUCUUUUUUAUUUCUUUUUCUAGUUUUUCCGCUCUUUUCUUUUCGCCUUUGUUUUUUCCUCAUUUUCUUUCUUCUCUCUUUUCUUUGUUUUUCCUCCUCUUUUCUUUUUCUCUCUUUUAUUUGGUUACGGUUGAAUCAUAUGUGGAUUGCCUAUGUAUCAUGACCCCGCAUGAAUCAGGCCGAGUGUAGCUCGUGCAUAUAAAAGGUAGACAACAAUAAAAUAUUUUUUUGGAAUUUUACAAUUUUUGUUAAAAAACUAACAAUCUUAAGGACGAAAUACAUACUCGAAAAUCAAACGACCCGCAUAUUCUACUCAAAAGAACUAUAAAAACAAAAUGACAAAUUCCUUCCCCUAUAGGCCGAUUUUAAACCAAAUGACUAUUUUUCCAAACGUGGCCCCUUUCCAAUUUCACAUGAAUUUUGAGACCGUGAAGGAUUAUUUUAUGGAAUUCCACAAACCUGUUCGUUCUUUUACGAAAAUAGCCUUUCGACAACUGAAAGAUACUCUAAGGCUAUGUCGGCAAGAAUGGUUUAAGACACCAUCGACACUAGUUCGGCUUAUUUUGACCAAAAAUUCCAAAACAACAUUCACUUGACCACUGACUCAUUUUCUUAUUUUUCAUAUUAAAAUAAAAGACCCGAUUUUGUAAUCACAACCUUCUAGCUCCUCGGGGACGAAGAUUUUGAGGCUGCGUUAGCUAAUCGGUCAAAAUCUAAAAAAUGACCAAAGACUGCUGUUUAUACAAAAUCCACCUUCCGGCGUUCCUUUAGGGAACGUUCGACUAUUUUUCAUAAAAACGGCAUCACCCGAUUUAUUUACAACUCUUUUCUUCAAAAUAAAAUAAAUGACCCGGUAUUGCAAACACGGCCUUUUAGCGCCCCAGGGACGAAGACUUAAGGUUGUGAGGGUCAAGAAAUCAAAACUUGAUCAAAGGUGGCAAUUUAUGCAAGUUAACCUUCCGGCGUCCCAUUUGGGAAAUUUGGCUAUUUUUGCACAAACGGCAUAAGCCGACUUAUUUACGACGAAAAUUUAAAAUUUUGACAUUUUUGGCUAUUUUGCAAAAGGUGAGGUUGGACCUGAUGAGGGUUGCCUAUGUAUCUCACGCCCUGUGAGAAUCAAAAAAUGCAUAGUUCGGGUAAACUAACCAAACUAUUUUAAAACAGGACUCUUUCUCAUUUUUAUUUUUGGCAUUUCAAAUAAAAAAAACUACUUUUAAAAAUAAAACUCUUUCUUUCUUUUUCUUUUUCAACAAAUAAUAAAACAGCCUCUUUUUUCAAACUAAAAAAAAAGAAUCUUUGCCUUUUCUUUUUCAAUAAAACAACCUAUUUUUCCAAUCUAAAAAUAAAAGACUCUUUUUCUUUUUCUUUUUCUUUUUCAACAAACGAGAAAACAACUUAUUUUUCCAAACUAAAAAUAAACGACUCUUUUUCUUUUUCUUUUUCAACGAACAAAUAAACAACCUAAAAAUAAAAGACUCUUUUUCUUUUUCUUUUUCUUUUUCUUUUUCUUUUCCCUUUUCAUUAACACAAACUAUUUAAACAUAAAAUAUUUUCUAUUUCAUUUUCUCAAAGUUUCGUCAGAGAUUCGACAGUAUUUGGGCAUUUGUUUUUUCCUGAAAAUAUGCAAUUAAAUUUCUAUACUAUUAUUUCUAUCUUUUUCUCACUUUCACAAUAUCCCCGAUAUUCAAAAUCCGGUCAGCAUGCAGCCCGAAACAAAUAAAUGCACAGAACAUAAGUAGGAUGCGUCAAGAUGGUCUUUUUCAUUCCAGGUUCCUAGCCUUUGAUGGACCCAACCCCUGUGUUGCGUCCCCUAAGUCAAAAUGCACAUGAUGCAAAUAAGCGUUCUUAUUAGGAAUCCGACAUGAAGUUGAGUUAUUCUAGGUUCAUAGCCUGAGGGUUUGAUCUAAACCUCGCUUACCCGAGUGGACAGCUCGAGCCGGGGGAGAGGCAGCGUACCGAGAAUAUAGAAGCUUCACCGGCUUUGCAACUUAUUCAAACCUCAUCCUACAUUGGGAAUCAGACACUAUACAGAAAAUAAGUCACACGAAGUGCACCCUUCUUCAUGGUUUAGAAGACUCAGUGAGAAGAUGGGUUUCGACACAAUUUAUAUACAAUUCACGGAAUAUAAAAGCGGUAAAAGCAGUAAAUUAGCACAUUAAGCACAUAUCAUGUAACAAAAUCAGAUAAAGCCAAACACAACAAUUAUUAUAAGCUUGAAUUAUGAACACUGAAUAAGAGAUUCUGGGUUCGAUCCCAGCAGAGUCGCCAAAGUUGUCACACCUCCUUUCUCACUACACCCGCAAGGGCGUAAAGGAGUUUUUCCAAUUAAAGGAAAUUUGGAACGGGAUUUAUUAUUAAUUAUUCAGAGUUGCCACUUGGGAGAUUAAUGGUGUCCCAAGUCACCGAUUGAAUCCCAAACCGAGGAAAAUAUGACUCUGUUAACAGUCCGCGAAUCAGAAUCUGAGUAAGGACUUCUGUUAACCCGGGAGAAGGUGUUAGGCUUUCCCGGGUUCCGUAGUUCUAGCACGACCGCUCAACUGUCGUAUUUAGCUUAUUUGUAUUAUUUUAUUACAUGAUGAACCUAUAUGCCAAUUUUUAUUUUUAACCGCUUUUAUUUAAUUUUUAAAGAAAGUUGAACGUCGUUCAAAAUGUGUCUUUAGAUCGUGUCACAUGAAAUGAACCCGCCAUCCUGAACAUAUUUUAUUCAACAUUUAAGAAUUUGAUUUAGGUCAUAUAAAAUGCACACCCGAAUUUAUUAAGGUGAAUUAAUAAAAGUGCACCUAAAGUGACUAACGCGUUAUUAUCUUUGGUGAGGGCCGUAAAAUUUGCUAAACGAACCAUUCCGAAUUCUACGUAUUUUAAUAUAACCGUUUAUCAAGGGCCCCACAUUUUAUAUUUUAUUUGGCGAGGCUCGUCUCGUUUUAUUUUAAAGCCGACCUAAAGUAAACUACAAUUUUCUAUUCAGUUGUCUCUAAAUUAAAAGGAAAACCCUACUUAAUUGAAGAUCCCAAAGCCUUAAUACAACUGUAAACAAUUAAGCCCAAGAGUUGCAUAAGUAAAGCAAACCAUUUUAACUAAUAGCCCCAAGUUCAAUGUUCAGGGACGGGGCAGACUGGGCCUCAAGGAAGCCCAAAUGCAUGACAAUACAUAAAGUGGGCCUGGUUUCAGCUUUAACUCCCUGGGAAUUAACAGGUCAUUGAGUCAAAAUUCUCAUCAGCAAAGCUUCAAUGGAUUCACUUAUUACUGAUGAUAUAUUACUUAUUUAUACUACACCAAUUUGACUCAAAAGCUAUUCAUAAGAGUCAUCCUGAUUUGUUAAAAAUGAACGAAUGUGCUAACUCGGACUUACGUGAAAAUACAGGACAUUCUUUGUUUGUUGAAUGCGCACAACUGCGAGUAAUUGACUCACAGUCACAACAUGACUAACAUUGGGCAUGGUUUAAGCAAAUUUAUGAACCUGUUAAUGAGAAAAUAAUUAAAACUAAUGGGAACUAUUAACUUCAACUUUUGCCCCGAAAUGUCAAUAUUAACAUUGAAACAGUGAACUCAGGGAAACCUACUGAACUUAUGGACCAAAUUGAAGUUAAACAAUAAUUCCCAAACAAGUAGGACCUAUUAUCAUUAAGCACCUGCUGGAAACCCAGGUAGUUUAUAUGGUCCAAAGCCAACCAGAACAACUCAAAUUUCAAUAACAAAAGGAGAUCUAGUUGAACAUAACACUAAGCUAAACAAUAGUAAUACUGAAUGAUUCUACCAAUUAACAGCCUUAACAGUCCAAAAUUAGUUCAGUUAGAUAGCCCCAAAUUUCAAGUAAUCAAAUCAUUUCACAAAUUAAAAUUAAAUAGAGAUGAAAUGAAUACAUAAUUCGACUUAAAACAGUAAUUCGAACAACAUUUCUUCAUGUAUUCUCAAACCAAGUUUAUACAGAUCCUUCAAGUUCAUAAGAGGUCAAAAUAUACCUGGAAAUGUAAAAUCACAAGAGAGAAUAGAGAGGUCAGCUAGGUAGCAACAGAUGAGGCAAUCACAGCCAAUCCCAUGCAACGACAAACAACCAAAUAAAGGUAAUUUGACCCAACACAGCUUCACAUUGAACCCAGAAAUGCACACAGAAGAGAAUAGCUAACAGAACACUCAAAACAGAUUCCAAAAACAAAUAUCAACUUUAAAUUAUCGAAAGCAACUCGAAAUGGAACUUAAAAUACUCCUGGAACUUUACUGAUGUAAUGCUCAACCAAAAACCCACUUAAUUUGACUUAAACUCAAACGAAAUGAACACUGACUAAAGCUGGAAUUGAAUAUAUGAAUCAGCAUUCAAAUACAUCAAAAUCAACUCAGAAUUUUCAAUGGAAUAGUAUUCUUUUUUUUGGAUUUUGUGUUAUUUUUUUCUUUUUUUAUUUUUUGUUUUCUGAAGGUUUUGAAAUUUGAAUUUUAGAUUGAGGAGAUCAAAUAUGCAGAAUGCUUUUCGGGGGGAGUUUUUGGAGCUCAAAACCAUGUCAACGAAGUAAAAAGCAUACCCUUUUAUAGCACAAAUGAGGGCAGCCCUUAGAUUUUAAGUUUUCACUCUUAGUCCUUUUUUAACUUUCAUUUUUGCUUAGAUGUCCCUUAUUUCCUGACUUGCUACUCAAGUAAGCCGACUAACUUCCCUGAAAUUACAACUAAAUACAUAUUCUAGAAGGUUCUAGUAUUAGCCACAACAUUUUAUACAAUUAUCAAUUACCCAAAACACCCCUGAAACCCCUGAAAUUACAAACCUUAUCCAAUUGACCCCAACCCCUUCUUUCCCUGAUUAAAAACAUCAACCCAAACCAAUUUACCCUAAAUUCAAUUAACAAAUCAAUUAAUCCUAAGAUUAGACAAUUAUAACAAUAAGAAAUGAUACUGAAAUGAGGAAUUAGUACACUAAGCCAAACAAACUCUUGAAACGAAUUUAACCAAAACAGAGUCAAAUAGCAACGACCAAUUAUAUUUAAUUAAAAUUCAAAGAGAAACAUGGAAGACACUUAACAAACAGGAAAUAACUAAGAUCUGCUCUAAUUAGCAACAAUUAACUAAGAUUCAACUAAACUAAUCAAACAUGAAUAAAAACUACUUUAACAAAUACUGAAUUAUUAGUAGAGAUAAACUAGUUCGUGAGAAUUGGAGAAAAAGAGAAGCAAAAUUCAUUGGUGAAGAAACGCCGGCCACCCAUUAUUUUCUGAAUUCGGCCAAAUGAGAGGACGUUUGAGCGCCUUGGAUUGUCAAGUCUUCAUGCAGAUGAUGAGGGUAUCAUAAUGUGCCAAUUUGGCACGAUUUGGUGCAUUAAGGGUUUCGCCGGAAACCUUUGAAUUCAAAUUCGACGAGUUCCAAAGUGAUUCGAACAAAGCUAAUUGGUGUUUUAGGAUGAUGGUGGAAAAAGGGAAUCAGUGGUGUGAGUUUGGAGGGAUUUGGACGAAGCGGCAUCGUGGCCGGAAAAUAUUCUAAUGAAGAUUCGAAGGUCAUUGUGAGAUCGAGGGAAGGCAAUAGCAGGAAUGGAAAGAGGAGAAAAAGGCGGUUCUACGUUGUAAGUUUCAAGGGGCUUACAGGUGGGCCGCCGCCAGCGGUGAUUUUCGGCUGGCGUUGUUAGGGUGGCGGGUGGCGGAAUCGGCGGAGACAUUGUACUAGGAAGAGAGACUGUUGUUCUUUAGGGUUAUGAUAUUUUCAGACAGUUUUAUAAAAAAUUGAAGAACAAACAGAGGCCGUUGGAUUAGAUUAAAUGAAGGGCUCAGAUUGAAGGCGUUGAAACGACGUCAUUUGGUUUUUUACUGAGGCGGACCGAGUGGACACUUUUGGGCCGGACUGGGGAGUUUUAAGUUUGGGCUAAGACACUUUGGCCCAAUUCAUGUAUAUAACGCAGCCCCUUUUUGUUUAUAUACUUUUGUUCUCUUUUUGCUUUUAUUUCUUUUAUUUUGUAUUUUGUUCAUUUUCUUUAUUUUCAUUUGUA